UACAGAGGGUGCUAGCGUUGUUCGGAAUUACUGGGCGUAAAGGGCGCGUAGGCGGCUUGAUAAGUGAGAUGUGAAAUCUCGGGGCUUAACUCCGAAAGUGCAUUUCAAACUGUCAGGCUAGAGUGCAGUAGAGGUUGGUGGAAUUCCCAGUGUAGAGGUGAAAUUCGUAGAUAUUGGGAGGAACACCGGUGGCGAAGGCGGCCAACUGGGCUGCAACUGACGCUGAGGCGCGAAAGCGUGGGGAUCAAACAGG
This 253-nucleotide ribosomal RNA is filed under the name uncultured bacterium. Its description in RNAcentral is "partial 16S ribosomal RNA". It matches the Rfam family "Bacterial small subunit ribosomal RNA", at positions 524 to 776 of the family's 1533-position model. The record is from RNAcentral.